RNAcentral lists this unclassified non-coding RNA (520 nucleotides) under uncultured Glomus. RNAcentral's name for it is "SSU rRNA". It matches the Rfam family "Eukaryotic small subunit ribosomal RNA", at positions 569 to 1090 of the family's 1831-position model. Lineage: Eukaryota; Fungi; Glomeromycota; Glomeromycetes; Glomerales; Glomeraceae. The record is from RNAcentral.
AGCAGCCGCGGUAAUUCCAGCUCCAAUAGCGUAUAUUAAAGUUGUUGCAGUUAAAAAGCUCGUAGUUGAAUUUCGGGAUCAGUAUGUUGGUCGUGCUUCGGUACGUACUGUCAUUACUGGUUUCUACCUUCUGAAGAACCUUGAUGUCAUUAAUUUGGUGUCUUGGGGAAUCAGGACUGUUACUUUGAAAAAAUUAGAGUGUUUAAAGCAAGCAUACGCUUGAAUACAUUAGCAUGGAAUAAUGAAAUAGGACGUUUGAUUCUAUUUUGUUGGUUUCUAGGAUCGACGUAAUGAUUAAUAGGGAUAGUUGGGGGCAUUAGUAUUCAAUUGUCAGAGGUGAAAUUCUUGGAUUUAUUGAAGACUAACUACUGCGAAAGCAUUUGCCAAAGGAUGUUUUCAUUAAUCAAGAACGAAAGUUAGGGGAUCGAAGACGAUCAGAUACCGUCGUAGUCUUAACCAUAAACUAUGCCGACUAGGAAUCAGACGAUGUUAAUUUUUUAAUGACUCGUUUGGCACCUUA